This 19-nucleotide non-coding RNA is filed under the name Arabidopsis thaliana (thale cress). The record is from RNAcentral. Lineage: Eukaryota; Viridiplantae; Streptophyta; Magnoliopsida; Brassicales; Brassicaceae.
AGUAAGGGAGUGAAUGUGC